GCCCAUUUAGCUCAGUGGAUAGAGCAUCAGCCUGCUGACUGAAGGGUCCCGGGUUUGAUUCCCGGUCAAGGGCA
RNAcentral lists this transfer RNA (74 nucleotides) under Myotis brandtii (Brandt's bat). It matches the Rfam family "tRNA". Rfam says of the family: Transfer RNA (tRNA) molecules are approximately 80 nucleotides in length. Their secondary structure includes four short double-helical elements and three loops (D, anti-codon, and T loops). Lineage: Eukaryota; Metazoa; Chordata; Mammalia; Chiroptera; Vespertilionidae. The record is from Rfam by way of RNAcentral.